UCCGUAGGUGAACCUGCGGAAGGAUCAUUAUCGUGGGGCUUCGGCCCUAUCGAGAUAGAACCCUUGCCUUUUUUGAGUACCGUCCGUUUCCUCGGCAGGCUCGCCUGCCAAUGGGGACCCCAAUCAAACCUUUGUAAAUACCUGUAACAGUCUGAUCAAACAAACAAAAAUUAAAACUUUCAACAACGGAUCUCUUGGUUCUGGCAUCGAUGAAGAACGCAGCGAAAUGCGAUAAGUAGUGUGAAUUGCAGAAUUCAGUGAAUCAUCGAAUCUUUGAACGCACAUUGCGCCCUAUGGUAUUCCGUAGGGCAUGCCUGUUCGAGCGUCAUUCAAACCUUCAAGCUAUGCUUGGUGUUGGGCGUCUGUCCUGCCUCACGGCGCGGACUCGCCUCAAAUCUAUUGGCGGCCGGCACGUUGGCUUCGAGCGCAGCAGAAACGCGAACUCGGUGCCCGACGGGUCGGCCUCCCAGAAGCUAAA
This 478-nucleotide ribosomal RNA is filed under the name uncultured fungus. RNAcentral describes it as "eukaryotic LSU rRNA". The stretch from base 175 to 328 matches the Rfam family "5.8S ribosomal RNA". The record is from RNAcentral. Lineage: Eukaryota; Fungi.